RNAcentral lists this long non-coding RNA (489 nucleotides) under Monodelphis domestica (gray short-tailed opossum). RNAcentral describes it as "lncRNA (ENSMODG00000049346.1)". Lineage: Eukaryota; Metazoa; Chordata; Mammalia; Didelphimorphia; Didelphidae. The record is from RNAcentral.
UAGUAGCCUUCAACCCGUGGCUCUAGACAUCCUGCACCCUCUUCAGAUCAACAAGUCUAUAUUGAUUUGCACUUUGCGACCAUCCUUGUGUUGUCUUAACAGCUCACAUUUAUCUAGUGAGAUUGAUAUUUGUUUUGUUUUUUAGAUCCUCACAACAAAUUUUCAUGGAAGUGACAGAGGAAUCACCACAUUUGGACUCAAACACCUCAGUCCCCAAUGUGCUACAGGAAGAAAUAGAAAUGGCACUUAAGAAGAUAAAGUCAGGAAGAGCAGCUGAACCAGACAAAGUAGACACAGGUAAUCUCUGCUUAAGGAGGUACAAUCUUAAAAGCAUUGAUGGAUCAUUUUACAAAGAUAGCUCAAAGCUCAAAGAAGAUGAGGGAACAAUCAUAGAUGACAUUAAUACUGACAAAAAAAAAACAGUUGAGUGAACAUCAGUAACUACUAACUCAUAUAUCUACUUUCUCAUUUUCAUAAAAUAUUUAUGAG